This 1720-nucleotide long non-coding RNA is filed under the name Anneissia japonica. Its description in RNAcentral is "uncharacterized LOC117114237". The record is from RNAcentral. Lineage: Eukaryota; Metazoa; Echinodermata; Crinoidea; Comatulida; Comatulidae.
CAGUGUUUAAUAAGGACAUGAUGGAACAUCGUAGGCUACCCUGUAGCUUUUCAACGAAUAAAGUCCUAUGAAAAAUCCUAUGAUUGUCUUUGUUCGGAAAUUUGUGACGCAUUCAAGGACGGGGGAUAAAUUGUUCAAUUUUUGUUUAAAUGGAGAUAUAAGCAAAAUUAUAUUCAAAUUUUAAGUCUUAGAAUGUAAUUUCCCGCCAUCUAGAUGUGCCAUAAUCACAAAUGUUCCGUACCUCAGCCCCAACCAUGGUGGGGCUGAGGUGGUAGAGUCCUCCAUCUACUAAAGUAACCAGUGGCGAAUUCAAUGGGGACCCAACCGGCCCGCCUCCGCCCCUAAAUUGUUUAAAAAAUGGAGAUAUGAAGAUAAUUAUAUUCAAAUUUUAUGUCUGGAAGUGCAAUUUCCCGCCAUCUAGAUGUGCCAUAAUCACAAAUUUUCUUACCUCAGCACCAUUCAUGGUGGGGCUGAGGUAGUAUAAAUUUUAUAUCUGUGAAAGUACUCUCCCUGGGUCCUUCUAUUUCUAAUUCCUGGAUCCGCCACUGGAAAUUACAACAAAUAUGAAGUCAUAUUACAGUAGCUUGAUGGCUAUAAAAUAACCACCAGGGUAUAGCCAACAGGGGGCCCUUUGCGCCCUCCCUGGCCCCAACCUAGAUGCUCGCUUCUCUCGCAUAUUGGACCUUAAGAAAUGGUCCCCCCCCCCCACUUUUAAAAAACGUUCCGCCGCCGUUGGGUGACUUAUUUUAUAAGAGUGCCAUUUCCGGCCAGCUUGAGGUACUUUUACCUCAAAUUUUCGCACCUCAGCCUCAACUAUGUUGGAGCUUGGGUGGGUUUCGACUCACGGCUUUGAAGUCGGUUAAACAAAGUAUAUACAUCAAAGAAAAUGUUUUAUUUUCUUGGUAAAUCACACAUAUUAAUUGGAUCUCUAUGGUUGCCGAGAGAAAUUUUUUUACUAUAAUGAUGAUUUAAUGACGAAUUUUACUACAUAACAGGGUCGUUUCUGGCCGUCAAGAGGUACUAUUUCCACAAAUUUUCGCACCUCUGCCCCAUGACCAUGGUGGGGUUGAUAUAGAUGUGACUCGUCUUUGAAGGAGGUUGCACUAGAUAAGGUACAUUUUGUCUCAAAGGACUAUUUUGCAUCUUUAAAAAAGCCAACAUGCAAGUAGACUGGUAUGUGCUGCAAUGACAAACAAAAAAAUAUACAGUAUCUGCAAUAGUUGAAUACCCAGAUAUCCAGUCAGCAGCUGUAAAAACCAAGAUGACUAAAAUAUGUGAAGAUACAAGGCGCUCCAUGUCAAAGAGAAUGGAUACAGCAGCUAAUAUUUAACAACAGGCGCUUAAUAUGCAGUAAUUUUUUAAUUUUAAAUUGUAAUUAUCUUUGCUAAAGGUAACUUAGCAAAGUGUUGUAAUUAAAUUUAAAAAAAAAGUUUAUUUCAUAUCCUACAGAUGAGCUGCAGCAUGCUUUACCAUAUAAGUAACUGUUCGUCUAUAUGCAAUAAAAAGAAUUUAAACAAUUGUAAACUCAUUGCUACAUUAACUUAACAACUAUUAAAAUCCUUGACUAAUUUUAAGCAAAACAAUACCUUUAGUGUGAAGCAGUUACUGUAUGCAUUUGACUAAUGUAUGUUUUUAACUUAAAAAUGUUAUAACACAUAUAUAAUUCGUCUGACUAUUAUGCAAUAAUCUUAUGAAAGUGCUAAUAUAUGUAUUUAAAAGU